Molecule: transfer RNA, 71 nt
Filed under: Culex quinquefasciatus (southern house mosquito)
Lineage: Eukaryota; Metazoa; Arthropoda; Insecta; Diptera; Culicidae
Description: tRNA-Glu
Source: RNAcentral
AGACCCGUAGUGUAAGGGUAAGCGUGGCUUUCUCUCACCCAGUCGGCCUGGCUUCGAUCCCAGAGGGUCCC